AAAGGGAGACCUAAUUCGGGUAGGAGACGAAAAAAAAGUAGUCCCAACCAAGAAUCAAUCCCAAAAGGUCGGAGCGAGGCGAAAUUGGCUUUCAAACUAGGUUCUGGGUUCACAGAAGACCUGAAUCAGGAACAAGGGCUAUUAGCUCAGGUGGUUAGAGCGCACCCCUGAUAAGGGUGAGGUCCCUGGUUCGAGUCCAGGAUGGCCCACCUGCACAGGUGGUAAAAACAAGAGAAGCGAGGAAUCAGCACCUUAUCUUACUUACAUAGUAAGAGAGAAUGCUGGCUCUGAGUAAAGAGUCCAGAGGAACCUUGAAAACUGCAUAGAGCUAGGUGAAAAAGCCAAAAAAGAAGACCGCAAG
This 361-nucleotide transfer RNA is filed under the name uncultured Microcystis sp. RNAcentral's name for it is "partial 16S-23S ribosomal RNA intergenic spacer". The stretch from base 136 to 209 matches the Rfam family "tRNA". The record is from RNAcentral. Lineage: Bacteria; Bacillati; Cyanobacteriota; Cyanophyceae; Chroococcales; Microcystaceae.